GAAAGGCGGGCUAAUACCGAAUAACAUCUUAAAAACCUCGGUUUUAAAGAUCAAAGGAGGCCUCUACUUGUAAGCUUCUGUUUGAGGAUGAGCCCGCGUACCAUUAGCUUGUUGGUAGGGUAAUGGCCUACCAAGGCUACGAUGGUUAGCUGGUCUGAGAGGAUGAUCAGCCACACUGGAACUGACACACGGUCCAGACUCCUACGGGAGGCAGCAGUGAGGAAUUUUGCGCAAUGGGGGAAACCCUGACGCAGCAACGCCGCGUGAGUGAUGAAGGCUUUCGGGUCGUAAAGCUCUGUCAAGUGGGAAGAACCCACAUGGUGAUAAUACCGCCAUGUGCUGACGGUACCACUGAAGGAAGCACCGGCUAACUCCGUGCCAGCAGCCGCGGUAAUACGGGGGGUGCAAGCGUUAUUCGGAAUUACUGGGCGUAAAGAGCGCGUAGGCGGUCUUUUAAGUCAGGUGUGAAAGCCCGGGGCUCAACCCCGGAAGUGCACUUGAAACUAAGGGACUUGAGUAUGGGAGAGGGAAGUGGAAUUCCUGGUGUAGCGGUGAAAUGCGUAGAUAUCAGGAGGAACAUCGGUG
RNAcentral lists this ribosomal RNA (585 nucleotides) under uncultured bacterium. RNAcentral's name for it is "bacterial SSU rRNA". It matches the Rfam family "Bacterial small subunit ribosomal RNA", at positions 153 to 714 of the family's 1533-position model. The record is from RNAcentral.